This is a long non-coding RNA of Silurus meridionalis, 389 nucleotides long. RefSeq lists it as uncharacterized. NCBI's taxonomy places the organism in Eukaryota, Metazoa, Chordata, Actinopteri, Siluriformes, Siluridae. The record is from RefSeq and is a predicted model, not a curated record. The transcript is spliced from 3 exons.
AAUGGAUCCAUGGAUGAGAUGGAUGGUGAAUUUGGCAGAUCUUUCUCCUGACACGGAACCUUCACGCAUCUCAUGGAUCUUUAGACUGUUCAUGUUGAGAACAUCUUCAACAUCCUCAGCUGCAGCAAGUGGUCUCCAACAAACGAGAACCUCAUCCAGUUCCUGCCUCGUCUGUGGGAUUUCAGAGUCACACUGAGACUCUACAAUCCUCAGCUCCACGUCACAGCACUCGCUGUCCCACAGAGACCGGAACAGAGGGAUGAGGGACAGAAGAAUAUUGAUUCCUUCAACUUUGUUCUUCAAUCUUUGUUCAAGAUUUCACAAUUUUAUUUUUUAUUUUUAAAUAAAUUGUUCAAACAGAUCAUUAAAGCUCACAAACUCUGUUCCUA